UACAGAGGGUGCAAGCGUUAAUCGGAAUUACUGGGCGUAAAGCGCACGUAGGCGGUUGUUUAAGUUGGAUGUGAAAGCCCCGGGCUCAACCUGGGAAUUGCAUUCAAAACUGGACAACUAGAGUGUGUGAGAGGGGGGUAGAAUUCCAAGUGUAGCGGUGAAAUGCGUAGAGAUUUGGAGGAAUACCAGUGGCGAAGGCGGCCCCCUGGCACAACACUGACGCUCAGGUG
Molecule: ribosomal RNA, 230 nt
Filed under: uncultured microorganism
Description: partial 16S ribosomal RNA
Rfam family: Bacterial small subunit ribosomal RNA
Source: RNAcentral